ACAUAUAACAAACACAUCUAUUUAAAUGUUGUAGGUACAACUAUUUUAUAGGCCUGUUUGACUGUAAACUUAAUCUAUCGAUUGUAUUAUUAUCAAUAACUAACAAUAUUAAAUAAACUCAUGUUUUCUAUCUUCCUCAUGGAACCCCAAAGACUGUGAUCUCAUUUAAGACAAAUAGCUCUACAACAGCUGCAUGGAACACUUGGCAAUAAGCAAUCAAAACAUUCAGUAAAUAUAUUACUAAACAUAAACCUUUAUUGAAAUGCAUAAAAUGUUUAUCAAAAUAAAAUAAAACUCUUAGGCAACAGCAUUAACAUGUCUAAUGUUAUUGUAAUUAUUUACUUUAAUAAAAAAAACUAAAUAGUAUAUAAAAAAUUUUUUGUCACACAUAUCACCUUCCGACUUUAUAUAUAUAUAUAUAUAUAUUUUUUUUUUAAAUAUAUUUUAUUGGAUAUUUAGGCCUAGGUCUAUAAGUUAUGUGAUGGGGUGGCAGGUAGCCUAGUAGUUAGAGCGUUGGACUAGAAACUGAAAGGUGUCCCCGAGCUGACGAGCUGACAAGGUACACAUCUGUCGUUCUGCCCCUGAACUCUUCCUAGACCGUGAUUUAAAAUAAGAAUGUGUUCUGAACUGACUUGCGUAGUUAAAUAAAGGUUUAAAAAAAUAGUUGAUUAUUUACGAUUUUUUUUUUUUAUAUAUGUGGAUUUGUAUAAGUUAUCUUUAGGUCCCGUAUAUCAGAUGGACAUCCACGCGUCUCGUGGCGCACACAGGCCUCCCAGUCCACCCGCACUUAUAGAUCAGGAAGAGCUUGUAGCUAAGGGAAACGGGAUGCUUCCGGCUCGGAGGGGGGAAACCCACCGCUGGACUGGUCUGCUGCCUCGUCACAAGGGACCCGGCUCAGAGGGGAAACCCAACGCUGGACCGGCCGCGUCUGCUGCCUCGUCACAAGGGACCCUCUGCACUCUUUCAUGCCGCUCGUGAUUCUUUGCUUUCUUUCUCCCUCUAUCCACACAGUGAUCGGUAUCGGCCCCUCUUUCAGGGCUGGGCCCUCUGGGGGUGGGGGGUGGUGGUGGGUUGGGCUUCAGCUUUACUAAAGACUCUGUGUUUCCUUCUGCCGUCAGAUGAACAGGGGAACUGUUAGUUUUGAAUCUGUGUGAAUGUUACCCAUGACUCUUCAAAAAUGAUAUAGGUGAUACUGUUGGAUGAAAUGAUUUGUACGUUCUGUCGUGAUCUAACCGUCCUCUAUUACAUCACGGAAACACAUUUCUUUCAAUAAAGACUCAAUGAAUCUAUUUCAUUUUGUCUCAUUAGCCUAUAGGUGUGUAUAACUAGUCAAAUACAUUAUAAUAUAAUGUAUCACAUGUUCAUUGAGUGUUCUGUGGUACGCUAUUUUCUGUACUGUAGGGAACCGUGUUCCAUUUUGGAGUGCAGCCUGAGUGUUGUGCUAGCCGCUAGCCAGGUUGGGGUGAGAGGUUUUGGGCUAACACUCCCUAGCCAUGCUAACCCUUACCCCAGUAGAAACAGCACAAGCCCUCCACCGUCUGCACAUCCACCCCCAGCAAAAAGACAAAAACAGAAACAGGGCUUUGAAGAGAAGCAUAACACUCAGACCCACACUCACAUGAGUCCAUCCUCCCCCAUCUCCCCCAUCUCUCCCUCCCAUACCUCCAUCUCCCCCAUCUCUCUCUCCCUCCCAUACCUCCAUCUCCCCCAUCUCUCCCUCUCAUACCUCCAUGUUGCCCAUCUCUCUCUCCCUCCCGUACCUCCAUCUCCCCCAUCUCUCUCCCUCCCGUACCUCUAUCUUCCCCAUCCCCUCAUCCACAACACUCCGGCAAAACUAUUACUUGACGGUAAUAGUGCUCACUGUUGCCUCUAGCGGCUGGUUUUGAAGGCAUUUCCCGACGUCUUCAGGACAGCGAUAGACGUCUAAUUUCAACGCCAAUCUUGAACGACCCGGUUGGUAUGUUCAGAUGAAGACCCGGAUUCAAUGUAAUGUGACAGAGCUACACUCUAAAACAUCCCCCAACAUGCCUUCUAAAGGCCUUUCCCCGCAACGGAAAAAACAACAUUUAGGCUGAAGUGUCAAAUUCAAAUGAAAUUAAAUUAAAUUUAAAAAAGCUGUUAUAGUGGUUUUCAGUCUUGGUCAAAGAGUUUGAUCAAUCUAUGAAUGAAGACAAAAAACAACGAAAACAAAAAACACGUUGUUUGAUCUGGUAUUGGUCGAGAGUCUGUUAUCAUUCUUUUUAAAAAAUGUAAUAAAUGAAAUCAAUCAACAAAUCAAAACAUUGUUCAACUUUUCUCCGACAUAUUAACC
This is a long non-coding RNA of Oncorhynchus tshawytscha (Chinook salmon), 2311 nucleotides long. The record is from Ensembl. Lineage: Eukaryota; Metazoa; Chordata; Actinopteri; Salmoniformes; Salmonidae.